Molecule: long non-coding RNA, 3128 nt
Organism: Apis cerana (Asiatic honeybee)
Lineage: Eukaryota; Metazoa; Arthropoda; Insecta; Hymenoptera; Apidae
Source: RefSeq, a predicted model, not a curated record
CUUCCUUUUUUUCUUUCUUUCUUUCUUUAUUUUUAAUGCAUACAUUUCGCCAUGUCACCCUCGAUCUCCUGUAAUCAUCUAAAAGCAUUUUUCUCCGUGCAGAGAAUUUUUAAAUUUCCGGGCGCUCGAUGGAUUAAAACGUGAAACUUUUUCAAAUUUCGAAGAAAAUAAUAGAUAGACGCGUAACACAUAGACCGGCCUGUUUAUAAUAAGUUUAAUAUCACCCAUUGAAACGAAAUACAAACAUCAUGAAUAUUUAUUCUUCUUAUAUUAAGAAAAAUCGUUUCGAGACGAAUCGGAGAAAAAAUUGUUGGAUAAGAAUCGAUAAAAAUAUUUUUACGAAUAUUUAUUCGCGUGAAAUAAAUUUGAAUCCGUUCGAGUCAACGAGAUGCAGGUACUAAGUUUUUUUACGGUUUUAUGAAAAUAAACAGUGAAAUUUCACUCGGUUCGAGAAAGGAGAAGAAUUCGAUCGGAAAGUUCAACGCGCUUCUCGUAAACAAAGUUUCGUGGAAGAAAAUAGCAGGUACGGAGAGAACGAGCGAAACGUAGAGGAGAAACGAGAGAUUCCAUUUCGUGGGACGAGCAUGGAAAAACUCGUGUACAUAUACGAGUGGGUAACGAAAGUACUCGAACGCUUAUAUUUGCAACUUUUGCGACGAACGAAAUAUACACGUUGAAGGAACUUGUUUACACAAUGAAGGAUGGAUAGAUAUCAAGAUUAUAUCGGCAAAAUUUGAAAAUUUGAUUCACCAAUUUAUGCGACAAAUUUUCGCUUAACGACACGUGACUUUGAAAUACGCAGAAGUUGAUAACAAAAUUUUCUGUAAUAUUCUACUAAUAAACGUAUUAUCCGCAUAAAACAUGUGUAAAGACUUCAUCGCGACAAAAUUUUCGUAUAACAUUUUAACUUGGAAAUACGAUUACACGGGAAUCAUACUACGUUGAUAACAAAAUUUUCUGUAAUAUUCUACUAAUAAACGUAUUACGAUCCGCAUAAAGCAUGUGUAAAGAUUUCUAUACAAUCUAUACCUAUGUACAAAAUUUUCGUACACGUUAAUUUUGAAAUGCGCAGGAUACUGCGUUGAUAAAAAAAUUUUCUGUAACAUUUUACUAAUAAAUGUAUUACGAUCUGCGCAAAACUUUUUAAAACGUGUACCUACAGUGGAUAACGAAAGUAUUCAACGUACGUUUACAUAUUUGAAACGUUUCAACGUUUUACGUUUUGAGGAAUUAAAUAUAAACGUUAAAGGAACUUGUUUGAAACAAUGUAUGCUAGAAUGGAAAUCUCAAGAUUACGUAGGUAAAAUUUAAAAAUGAUUCACCAAUUUAUGCAGUAGUUAUAAUACGUUUAUAUUAUAAACACGUACGAUUAAUAGAUUAGAAAAGUAUUCGAACGCUUCAUAUAUGCGAUAUUAUUCGAUAUUAAUAUUUUGUACUACCUUUCGUGAUAAUUUGUCUCGAUCAACGUUUCAGACGCUGUGAACCAGAUUUUCUAAGAUCACGAUCGAUGGAAUUCCAUAUUUUGUAUAAUUUUUCCUCCAAGCAUCCGCCUUCAGGAUAUUUAAAAUUUAUUUAUAUAAUUUUUCGCCUAUUUAUGGACUCACAAAUUUUCGACGGGGAUUUAUACACAGAAUUUCUGGAGAGGAUCCAAUGACUGGCGGAUGGUUUCCAUGGUAAAUCUCGACCGGUUUCUCGGAAGAUUAACGACGAACGUAAUUCGGAAAGUGGUUCGAUUCGGAUGGAAAGAAAUACGCGGUGUUGUCGGAUCGAUUUUUUCUCCCCUCCCUCUUCCCCAAACCAAGCAGAGAAUUUAUCGUAACAUUCGCACUUUCGCGCAGUGUCGCGGUUAAGCUUUCGACUCAAAGUUGUUCGCAAUAAACUAAACGUGCGUAACUGCAGCGUGCUCGAGAUCGUGGAAAAGAUAUAUAUUACAGGAGGAGGGGAGACGUAUGUCGUUCAAUCGCCACUUUACACGUAGCCCGCGCGACUGUAAGAGAUGGUUUUUCUUUUCGGCCAGGCAUUGAAGCACGAAUACGUGCUCUUGCCGCGUAUUCUGCAUCUUCCACUCGAGAAGGAAACGUCUAAGUGAAAUCUCGUAAAAGAAUCAUAACGCAGAAGGACGAAUGGAAUUUUUACCGGUGAAAAUUCCGAUUCGAGGAACGGUGCACGGAUUAAUCAGCAAGACCGGAAAUCUGCGUAUUCCAAUGUGUGUCGUUUCUUCUGUGGGGAAAAAGCGUGACGUCGCGACAGACUUUUUUCGCAUCAGCAUCCCCGGGUACCGGGGCCAGCACACAGAGAAGGCACAUUCAACUUCCUCGCCAAGUUUUUCCACCUCGAACAAGAAAAGGUAGCGUGGAAUGGAACCGCGUGGCAAGAAAAAUGAAGCCAGGUGAAGAGCAGGGAAAAAUAGAUAAAAAAUAUAUUUAUCGAAGAGAUUGAAAGGAGAUCGAAAAUAAGAACUUCUUCGCCCCUCCUUCUCUUUUUCUACGUAAAUAAUUACGUAUAUACGAUUUCGAAUCGCUCUUCUUCUUUUUCUCUCUUUUUUUUUUUUUUUUAAAUUAGGGCAGACCGAUACGAGGACGAAAAAACGAUAAAGCGGGGAAAGGUAGAGCGAAUCAAUCGAACGUGUAACGAGUACGACCCAGUUUUUCGGCAAAAAGGCUUUUGAAGAUGGCUUUGCGUCCUUUCCUUGCCAUCCCUCAGACUCCGCGGUUAUUCUUUUCGCCAUACGAUUCUCUCUUUCCAAGCCAUCCAGCGAAUGGAAAUUCUCAUUGUUGCAAACGUACGCCCCUUUUUCGAAUAAUACAGUUACGAAUAAUAAUAACAAUAAUAAUAAUGAUGACCACGAUGACGAUGAUAAUAAUAGGGAAAUAGUAGCGCGAGCUCGUUAUAUCGAGCGUAUUCUGCGUUUUAUUUAGGUUAGGCAGAAACGAAUAUCCUAAAUUUGUAGAAAUUUAGAUAGAAGUGGAUCGACCGCUUUUCAACGUAAUUCCUCGGGGAGGGGAUCGCGCGAAAUAUCGUUUUGUUUUCACUUCGAAAACAAAAUAUUAAUAAAAAUAUAAAAAUAUAAGAAUGAAAAUAUUAAUAUAAAUGUAUUAAUAAAAAUAUAAAGAUAUUAUUAAAAAUAA